UGCGAGCGAACAGGGAAGAGCCCAGCACCGAAUCCCGCGGCCCGAUAUCGGGACGCCCGGAAAAUGGUGGUGUUAGGGAGGAUCCGUUUAUCCCGAGGGUCGUGCGGUGCGUCCAAGUCCUUCUUGAACGGGGCCACAGCCCAUAGAGGGUGCCAGGCCCGUAGCGACCGCUGCCGAUCGCGGGAGGAUCUCUCCUCAGAGUCGGGUUGCUUGAGAGUGCAGCCCUAAGUGGGUGGUAAACUCCAUCUAAGGCUAAAUAUGACCACGAGACCGAUAGCGAACAAGUACCGUGAGGGAAAGUUGAAAAGCACUUUGAAGAGAGAGUUCAAGAGUACGUGAAACCGUUCAGGGGUAAACCUGAGAAGCCCGAAAGGUCGAAUGGGGAAAUUCAUUCGCGUUUCGACUGUCGGCGUGGUGACGGUCGAGUGACGGAUGGCGUACGCGUCGUCCGCUCCUUCCGUUCUUCGAACUGGCGUCGAACGCGUGCACUUUUCCCCUAGUAGGACGUCGCGAUCCGUUGGGUGUCGGUCUACGGCUCGCGGUGGAGCCCGUGCGGUUGCUUUACGGCGUAUCGCACGGACCCGCGGUGUCCCGACCGACUCGCUCGACGGUAUACAGAUGGCGCGGGGCCGCUGCAAUUCAGUUAGCGUUCGGC
RNAcentral lists this ribosomal RNA (655 nucleotides) under Demonax transilis. Its description in RNAcentral is "eukaryotic LSU rRNA". It matches the Rfam family "Eukaryotic large subunit ribosomal RNA", at positions 88 to 629 of the family's 3401-position model. The record is from RNAcentral. Lineage: Eukaryota; Metazoa; Arthropoda; Insecta; Coleoptera; Cerambycidae.